Molecule: ribosomal RNA, 597 nt
Filed under: Caloplaca sp. UCR KK8976
Lineage: Eukaryota; Fungi; Ascomycota; Lecanoromycetes; Teloschistales; Teloschistaceae
Description: eukaryotic LSU rRNA
Rfam family: 5.8S ribosomal RNA (bases 262-415)
Source: RNAcentral
AGAGGAAGUAAAAGUCGUAACAAGGUUUCCGUAGGUGAACCUGCGGAAGGAUCAUUACCGAGGGCGGGAUUGGCCUACGGGUCACGUCCCGGGGGGGUUCCGCCCCCCGACUCUUCAACCCCGUGUAUAUCUACUCUGUUGCUUCGGCGAGCGUCGCGGUGCCUCGGCGCCGCGGCCCCGGCCGUGGCCGGUGAGUUCUCGCCAGAGGCCCAUCUUCAUUCUGUUUUAGUGACGUCCGAGUACCACGAUUGAAUCAAUCAAAACUUUCAACAACGGAUCUCUUGGUUCUGGCAUCGAUGAAGAACGCAGCGAAAUGCGAUAAGUAAUGUGAAUUGCAGAAUUCAGUGAAUCAUCGAAUCUUUGAACGCACAUUGCGCCCCUUGGUAUUCCGAGGGGCAUGCCUGUUCGAGCGUCAUUGCAACCCUCAAGCMCGGCUUGGUAUUGGGCGCUCGCCACCUCCCCUUCGGAGAUGGCGUGCCCGCAAACUAGUGGCGGUCCAGGGAGACUUCAAGCGCAGUAGAAACGUUCCGCUUUCGAGGUCUCGCCUGCGGUCCGGCCGUGGAACUCCCCGAAUUUUCAAUGAUUGACCUCGGAUCA